This 484-nucleotide ribosomal RNA is filed under the name uncultured bacterium. Its description in RNAcentral is "partial 16S ribosomal RNA". It matches the Rfam family "Bacterial small subunit ribosomal RNA", at positions 30 to 507 of the family's 1533-position model. The record is from RNAcentral.
AUUGAACGCUAGCGGGAUGCUUUACACAUGCAAGUCGAACGGCAGCGCGGACUUCGGUCUGGCGGCGAGUGGCGAUCGGGUGAGUAAUGUAUCGGAACGUGCCCAGUAGCGGGGGAUAACUACGCGAAAGCGUAGCUAAUACCGCAUACGCCCUACGGGGGAAAGCAGGGGAUCGUAAGACCUUGCACUAUUGGAGCGGCCGAUAUCGGAUUAGCUAGUUGGUGAGGUAACGGCUCACCAAGGCGACGAUCCGUAGCUGGUUUGAGAGGACGACCAGCCACACUGGGACUGAGACACGGCCCAGACUCCUACGGGAGGCAGCAGUGGGGAAUUUUGGACAAUGGGGGCAACCCUGAUCCAGCCAUCCCGCGUGUGCGAUGAAGGCCUUCGGGUUGUAAAGCACUUUUGGCAGGAAAGAAACGUCGCGGGCUAAUACCCCGUGGAACUGACGGUACCUGCAGAAUAAGCACCGGCUAACUACGUG